RNAcentral lists this ribosomal RNA (841 nucleotides) under uncultured bacterium. RNAcentral describes it as "bacterial SSU rRNA". It matches the Rfam family "Bacterial small subunit ribosomal RNA", at positions 21 to 869 of the family's 1533-position model. The record is from RNAcentral.
GGCUCAGGACGAACGCAAGCGGCGUGCCUAACACAUGCAAGUCGAGCGGGGCCAUAUUGGGAGUAAUCCUGGUCUGGUCUAGCGGCGAACGGGUGCGUAACACGUGAGCAACCUACCCCGGCGUCCGGGAUACCCCUUCGAAAGGAGGGUUAAUACCGGAUACCGUCGAGCCGGCGCCUGCCGGUUCGAGCAAAGGAGCAAUUCGCGCUGGGAGGGGCUCGCGGCCUAUCAGCUAGUCGGUGGGGUAACGGCCUACCGAGGCGACGACGGGUAACCGGCCUGAGAGGGUGGCCGGUCACACUGGGACUGCGACACGGCCCAGACUCCUACGGGAGGCAGCAGUGGGGAAUCUUGCGCAAUGGGGGAAACCCUGACGCAGCGACGCCGCGUGGGCGAAGAAGGCCUUCGGGUUGUAAAGCCCUGUUGGUAGGAAAGAAAACUGACGGUACCUACUGAGGAAGCCCCGGCUAACUCCGUGCCAGCAGCCGCGGUAAGACGGAGGGGGCAAGCGUUGUCCGGAAUUACUGGGCGUAAAGGGCGCGUAGGCGGCUUUUUAAGUCGGUUGUGAAAGCCCCGGGCUCAACCCGGGGAGGCCAGCCGAUACUGGGGAGCUUGAGUGCAGGAGAGGGAAGUGGAAUUGCCGGUGUAGCGGUGGAAUGCGUAGAUAUCGGCAAGAACACCCGCGGCGAAGGCGGCUUCCUGGACUGCAACUGACGAUGAGGCGCGAAAGCUAGGGGAGCGAACAGGAUGAGAUACCCUGGUAGUCCUAGCCCUAAACGAUGGUCACUAGGUGUCGGGGGUAUCGACCCCCCCGGUGCCGCAGCCAACGCAUUAAGUGACC